GAUGAAACGCUAGCGGCAGGCUUAACACAUGCAAGUCGAACGGUAACAUUUCUUGCUUGCAAGAAGAUGACGAGUGGCGCACGGGUGCGUAACGCGUAUACAACCUGCCUUUAACUAAGGGAUGGCCUUUAGAAAUGAAGAUUAAUACCUUAUAGUAUUAUUGAUUGGCAUCAAUUAAUAGUUAAAGAUUUAUUGGUAAAAGAUGACUAUGCGUUCUAUUAGUUAGUUGGUGAGGUAACGGCUCACCAAGACAGCGAUAGAUAGGGGUCCUGAGAGGGAGAUCCCCCACACUGGUACUGAGACACGGACCAG
Molecule: ribosomal RNA, 312 nt
Filed under: uncultured bacterium
Lineage: Bacteria
Description: bacterial SSU rRNA
Rfam family: Bacterial small subunit ribosomal RNA
Source: RNAcentral